AAACGACUCUCGGCAACGGAUAUCUCGGCUCUUGCAUCGAUGAAGAACGUAGCGAAAUGCGAUACUUGGUGUGAAUUGCAGAAUCCCGUGAACCAUCGAGUCUUUGAACGCAAGUUGCGCCCCAAGCCAUUAGGCCGAGGGCACGUCUGCAUGGGUGUCACGCA
RNAcentral lists this ribosomal RNA (164 nucleotides) under Iliamna rivularis. RNAcentral's name for it is "5.8S ribosomal RNA". It matches the Rfam family "5.8S ribosomal RNA". Rfam says of the family: 5.8S ribosomal RNA (5.8S rRNA) is a component of the large subunit of the eukaryotic ribosome. The record is from RNAcentral. Lineage: Eukaryota; Viridiplantae; Streptophyta; Magnoliopsida; Malvales; Malvaceae.